Molecule: transfer RNA, 77 nt
Filed under: Burkholderiales bacterium
Lineage: Bacteria; Pseudomonadati; Pseudomonadota; Betaproteobacteria; Burkholderiales
Also listed under: 1 other name
Description: tRNA-Arg
Rfam family: tRNA
About the family: Transfer RNA (tRNA) molecules are approximately 80 nucleotides in length.
Source: RNAcentral
GCGCCCGUAGCUCAGUUGGAUAGAGUACUUGGCUUCGAACCAAGGGGUCGGGAGUUCGAAUCUCUCCGGGCGCACCA